RNAcentral lists this ribosomal RNA (508 nucleotides) under uncultured bacterium. RNAcentral describes it as "partial 16S ribosomal RNA". It matches the Rfam family "Bacterial small subunit ribosomal RNA", at positions 28 to 523 of the family's 1533-position model. The record is from RNAcentral.
GAUGAACGCUAGCUACAGGCUUAACACAUGCAAGUCGAGGGGAAACGAUAGAGAAAGCUUGCUUUUUCUAGGCGUCGACCGGCGCACGGGUGAGUAACGCGUAUCCAACCUGCCCACCACUUGGGGAUAACCUUGCGAAAGUAAGACUAAUACCCAAUGAUAUCUCAAGAAGACAUCUGAAUGAGAUUAAAGAUUUAUCGGUGAUGGAUGGGGAUGCGUCUGAUUAGCUUGUUGGCGGGGUAACGGCCCAACAAGGCGACGAUCAGUAGGGGUUCUGAGAGGAAGGUCCCCCACAUUGGAACUGAGACACGGUCCAAACUCCUACGGGAGGCAGCAGUGAGGAAUAUUGGUCAAUGGGCGAGAGCCUGAACCAGCCAAGUAGCGUGCAGGAUGACGGCCCUAUGGGUUGUAAACUGCUUUUAUAAGGGAAUAAAGUGAGUCUCGUGAGACUUUUUGCAUGUACCUUAUGAAUAAGGACCGGCUAAUUCCGUGCCAGCCGCCGCGGUAA